Molecule: ribosomal RNA, 428 nt
Filed under: uncultured bacterium
Lineage: Bacteria
Description: bacterial SSU rRNA
Rfam family: Bacterial small subunit ribosomal RNA
Source: RNAcentral
UGGGGAAUUUUGGACAAUGGGCGAAAGCCUGAUCCAGCCAUGCCGCGUGCGGGAAGAAGGCCUUCGGGUUGUAAACCGCUUUAGUCCGGGAAAAAGGGCUGACGUGCUAAUACCGCGUUGGUUUGAUGGUACUGGAAGAAUAAGCACCGGCUAACUACGUGCCAGCAGCCGCGGUAAUACGUAGGGUGCGAGCGUUAAUCGGAAUUACUGGGCGUGAAGCGUGCGCAGGCGGUCUUGUAAGACAGUCGUGAAAGCCCCGGGCUUAACCUGGGAACGGCGAUUGUGACUGCUAAGCUAGAGUAUGGCAGAGGGGGGUGGAAUUCCACGUGUAGAAGUGAAAUGCGUAGAUAUGUGGAGGAACACCAAUGGCGAAGGCAGCCCCCUGGGACGAUACUGACGCUGAUGCACGAAAGCGUGGGUAGCAAACA